RNAcentral lists this ribosomal RNA (286 nucleotides) under uncultured Thiobacillus sp. Its description in RNAcentral is "partial 16S ribosomal RNA". It matches the Rfam family "Bacterial small subunit ribosomal RNA", at positions 1089 to 1382 of the family's 1533-position model. The record is from RNAcentral. Lineage: Bacteria; Pseudomonadati; Pseudomonadota; Betaproteobacteria; Nitrosomonadales; Thiobacillaceae.
GCAACGAGCGCAACCCUUAUCAUUAGUUGCUACGCAAGGGCACUCUAAUGAGACUGCCGGUGACAACCGGAGAAGUGGGGAUGACGUCAAGUCCUCAUGGCCCUUAUGGGUAGGGCUUCACACGUCAUACAAUGGUCGGUACAGAGGGUUGGCCAAGCCGCGAGGCGGAGCCAAUCCCACAAAGCCGAUCGUAGUCCGGAUUGUUCUCUGCAACUCGAGAGCAUGAAGUCGGAAUCGCUAGUAAUCGCGGAUCAGCAUGCCGCGGUGAAUACGUUCCCGGGCCCUU